GCCUCUGUGGUGUAGUGGCUAACGCACUUGUUUUAGAAAUUUGGGUCGAGGGUUCAAUUCCUAGUGGGGUCU
Non-coding RNA from Caenorhabditis brenneri, 72 nucleotides. Lineage: Eukaryota; Metazoa; Nematoda; Chromadorea; Rhabditida; Rhabditidae. The record is from the annotation of a GenBank genome assembly.